This 93-nucleotide non-coding RNA is filed under the name uncultured eukaryote. The record is from RNAcentral.
AUGCCAAGCGCUUUCCUACAUGUAAGGGUGGCAGCGGGCCCCCGGCAAAGCGUGCUCGACCACUGCACAGACACCAUCGUGGAGUACGGGCGC